RNAcentral lists this ribosomal RNA (476 nucleotides) under Staphylococcus arlettae. RNAcentral's name for it is "partial 23S ribosomal RNA". It matches the Rfam family "Bacterial large subunit ribosomal RNA", at positions 690 to 1164 of the family's 2925-position model. Lineage: Bacteria; Bacillati; Bacillota; Bacilli; Caryophanales; Staphylococcaceae. The record is from RNAcentral.
GGGCGUUGAGUAUUUGGUCGUAGACCCGAAACCAGGUGAUCUACCCAUGACCAGGCUGAAGUUCAGGUAACACUGAAUGGAGGGCCGAACCGACUUACGUUGAAAAGUGAGCGGAUGAGUUGUGGGUAGCGGAGAAAUUCCAAUCGAACCUGGAGAUAGCUGGUUCUCUCCGAAAUAGCUUUAGGGCUAGCCUCAAGUGAUGAUUAUUGGAGGUAGAGCACUGUUUGGACGAGGGGCCCUUCUCGGGUUACCGAAUUCAGACAAACUCCGAAUGCCAAUCAAUUUAACUUGGGAGUCAGAACAUGGGUGAUAAGGUCCGUGUUCGAAAGGGAAACAGCCCAGACCACCAGCUAAGGUCCCAAAAUAUAUGUUAAGUGGAAAAGGAUGUGGCGUUGCCCAGACAACUAGGAUGUUGGCUUAGAAGCAGCCAUCAUUUAAAGAGUGCGUAAUAGCUCACUAGUCGAGUGACACUGCGC